This 460-nucleotide ribosomal RNA is filed under the name uncultured bacterium. Its description in RNAcentral is "partial 16S ribosomal RNA". It matches the Rfam family "Bacterial small subunit ribosomal RNA", at positions 338 to 795 of the family's 1533-position model. The record is from RNAcentral.
CCUACGGGAGGCAGCAGUGAGGAAUAUUGGUCAAUGGACGCAAGUCUGAACCAGCCAUGCCGCGUGCAGGAUGACGGCUCUAUGAGUUGUAAACUGCUUUUGUACGAGGGUAAACCCCGAUACGUGUAUCGGGUUGAAAGUAUCGUACGAAUAAGGAUCGGCUAACUCCGUGCCAGCAGCCGCGGUAAUACGGAGGAUCCGAGCGUUAUCCGGAUUUAUUGGGUUUAAAGGGUGCGUAGGCGGUUUGAUAAGUUAGAGGUGAAAUGUCGGGGCUCAACCCCGAAACUGCCUCUAAUACUGUUGGACGCGAGAAUAGUUGCGGUAGGCGGAAUGUAUGGUGUAGCGGUGAAAUGCUUAGAGAUCAUACAGAACACCGAUUGCGAAGGCAGCUUACCAAACUAUAUCUGACGUUGAGGCACGAAAGCGUGGGUAGCAAACAGGAUUAGAUACCCGUGUAGUC